AUUGAACGCUGGCGGCAGGCCUAACACAUGCAAGUCGAGCGGAUGAAGGGAGCUUGCUCCUGGAUUCAGCGGCGGACGGGUGAGUAAUGCCUAGGAAUCUGCCUGGUAGUGGGGGAUAACGUCCGGAAACGGGCGCUAAUACCGCAUACGUCCUGAGGGAGAAAGUGGGGGAUCUUCGGACCUCACGCUAUCAGAUGAGCCUAGGUCGGAUUAGCUAGUUGGUGGGGUAAAGGCCUACCAAGGCGACGAUCCGUAACCGGUCUGAGAGGAUGAUCAGUCAAACUGGAACUGAGAAACGGUCCAGACUCCUAAGGGAGGCAGCAGUGGGGAAUAUUGGACAAUGGGCGAAAGCCUGAUCCAGCCAAGCCGCGGGUGUGAAGAAGGUCUUCGGAUUGGAAAGCACUUUAAGUUGGGAGGAAGGGCAGUAAGUUAAUACCUUGCUGUUUUGACGUUACCAACAGAAUAAGCACCGGCUAACUUCGUG
RNAcentral lists this ribosomal RNA (484 nucleotides) under uncultured bacterium. Its description in RNAcentral is "partial 16S ribosomal RNA". It matches the Rfam family "Bacterial small subunit ribosomal RNA", at positions 30 to 507 of the family's 1533-position model. The record is from RNAcentral.